RNAcentral lists this ribosomal RNA (451 nucleotides) under uncultured bacterium. RNAcentral's name for it is "partial 16S ribosomal RNA". It matches the Rfam family "Bacterial small subunit ribosomal RNA", at positions 354 to 796 of the family's 1533-position model. The record is from RNAcentral.
GUGGGGAAUAUUGGACAAUGGGGGGAACCCUGAUCCAGCCAUGCCGCGUGUGUGAAGAAGGCCUUUUGGUUGUAAAGCACUUUAAGCGAGGAGGAGGCUACCGAGAUUAAUACUCUUGGAUAGUGGACGUUACUCGCAGAAUAAGCACCGGCUAACUCUGUGCCAGCAGCCGCGGUAAUACAGAGGGUGCAAGCGUUAAUCGGAUUUACUGGGCGUAAAGCGGGCGUAGGUGGCCAAUUAAGUCAAAUGUGAAAUCCCCGAGCUUAACUUGGGAAUUGCAUUCGAUACUGGUUGGCUAGAGUAUGGGAGAGGAUGGUAGAAUUCCAGGUGUAGCGGUGAAAUGCGUAGAGAUCUGGAGGAAUACCGAUGGCGAAGGCAGCCAUCUGGCCUAAUACUGACACUGAGGUGCGAAAGCAUGGGGAGCAAACAGGAUUAGAUACCCUGGUAGUCC